GACGUAGGGCGCGAGCGUUGUCCGGAAUUAUUGGGCGUAAAGAGCUCGUAGGCGGUUUGUUGCGUCGGCUGUGAAAUCCCGAGGCUCAACCUCGGGUCUGCAGUCGAUACGAGCAAACUAGAGUGUUGCAGGGGAGACUGGAAUUCCUGGUGUAGCGGUAAAAUGCGUAGAUAUUACUAGGAACACCAAUGGCGAAGGCAGCUUGCUGGGCCGUCCUUGACGCUGAGAAACGAAAGCGUGGGGAGCGAACAGG
This 253-nucleotide ribosomal RNA is filed under the name uncultured bacterium. RNAcentral's name for it is "partial 16S ribosomal RNA". It matches the Rfam family "Bacterial small subunit ribosomal RNA", at positions 524 to 776 of the family's 1533-position model. The record is from RNAcentral.